Molecule: long non-coding RNA, 608 nt
Organism: Zalophus californianus (California sea lion)
Lineage: Eukaryota; Metazoa; Chordata; Mammalia; Carnivora; Otariidae
Exons: 4
Source: RefSeq, a predicted model, not a curated record
GGAAGGGUGCUGGCGUCAAAGCUCAGUGACAGAGUACUGCAGGCACAGCGGGUACUAACUCAGCCCUUCGGACUCCAGUCUUCUUUCCACUCCAUCAGUCUGCAUCUUAGCUCUCUCCAUCUCUGUCUCCACAUCUGCUAAAUGACAGUGCCCAGGAGAAUGAACAGGACAUCUGUGGGCCACAGUCUGCAGAGAAGAAAAAUGAAUGAGACCACACUGGCAUCCCCCGAGACAUGGGUUCCCAUCUGCUCCCAAUAAGCAAGCCAUCCAGGGCACCAACUUGUACAUGUAGUGACCCCAAGGCCUCUCCAGAUCCACCAGUUACUUCCAGGCCCCUUUUAAAAAGAGAUCAGAAUACAAGAAAGCGAAGGAAAUAAUGUGACUUUAUAGCCACCUCAUUGAUCCUUGAACCCUGUAGCCCACGGUGGCAGAUGGCUACAACAACAUCUCCCACUCCACGUGCUGUCCUGCAAUGUGACCUUGCCAGCCCCUCAUCAGGAGCAUGCAGUUUUGAUACCUGGAAGAAGGCAGAACAGGAACUAUCUUGCCACCAUGAGGGUGAAAACCACAGUCUAGAAAUGAUGGUGCAAAAUGAUACACUGAUUUCA